GACGGAAGGUGCAAGCGUUGCUCGGAAUCACUGGGCGUAAAGGGUGCGUAGGCGGCCGUGCAAGUCUGGCGUGAAAGCCCCGGGCUCAGCCCGGGAAGUGCGCUCGAAACUGCGCGGCUCGAGUGCCGGAGGGGAGAGUGGAAUUCCUGGUGUAGCGGUGAAAUGCGUAGAUAUCAGGAGGAAUACCGGUGGCGAAGGCGGCAUCCUGGACCGGUAUUGACGCUGAGGCGCGAAAGCCAGGGGAGCAAACGGG
RNAcentral lists this ribosomal RNA (253 nucleotides) under uncultured bacterium. RNAcentral describes it as "partial 16S ribosomal RNA". It matches the Rfam family "Bacterial small subunit ribosomal RNA", at positions 524 to 776 of the family's 1533-position model. The record is from RNAcentral.